UGCGUAGGCGGAAUGAUAAGUUAGUGGUGAAAUACCCCGGCUCAACCGGGGAACUGCCAUUAAUACUGUUAUUCUUGAGUAUAGUUGAAGUGGGCGGAAUGUAUUAUGUAGCGGUGAAAUGCUUAGAUAUGAUACAGAACACCAAUAGCGUAGGCAGCUUGCUAAACUAUAACUGACGCUCAGGCACGAAAGCGUGGGGAGCAAACA
This 207-nucleotide ribosomal RNA is filed under the name uncultured bacterium. RNAcentral describes it as "partial 16S ribosomal RNA". It matches the Rfam family "Bacterial small subunit ribosomal RNA", at positions 568 to 774 of the family's 1533-position model. The record is from RNAcentral.